This 113-nucleotide small nuclear RNA is filed under the name Cucumis sativus (cucumber). Its description in RNAcentral is "snRNA U5". It matches the Rfam family "U5 spliceosomal RNA". Rfam says of the family: U5 RNA is a component of both types of known spliceosome. The precise function of this molecule is unknown, though it is known that the 5' loop is required for splice site selection and p220 binding, and that both the 3' stem-loop and the Sm site are important for Sm protein binding and cap methylation. The record is from Rfam by way of RNAcentral. Lineage: Eukaryota; Viridiplantae; Streptophyta; Magnoliopsida; Cucurbitales; Cucurbitaceae.
AGCCGUGCGGUGGGCACAAAGCGAACUAUUCUUUCGCCUUUUACUAAAGAAUACCGUGUGCUCGCCGCCUUCAGCGGCAUACGCCUAUUUUUGGAGGGCUUCCCUUCGGGGUU